AUUGAACGCUGGCGGAAUGCUUUACACAUGCAAGUCGAGCGGCAGCGCGGGGCAACCUGGCGGCGAGCGGCGAACGGGUGAGUAAUGCAUCGGAACGUACCUUUUAGUGGGGGGAUAACUGGCCGAAAGGACAGCUAAUACCGCAUACGCCCUGAGGGGGAAAGGGGGGGAUCGCAAGACCUCUCGCUAAAAGAGCGGCCGAUGUUCGAUUAGCUAGUUGGUGGGGUAAAGGCCUACCAAGGCGACGAUCGAUAGCUGGUCUGAGAGGACGACCAGCCACACUGGAACUGAGACACGGUCCAGACUCCUACGGGAGGCAGCAGUGGGGAAUUUUGGACAAUGGGGGCAACCCUGAUCCAGCCAUUCCGCGUGAGUGAAGAAGGCC
This 385-nucleotide ribosomal RNA is filed under the name uncultured bacterium. Its description in RNAcentral is "bacterial SSU rRNA". It matches the Rfam family "Bacterial small subunit ribosomal RNA", at positions 29 to 416 of the family's 1533-position model. The record is from RNAcentral.